This 76-nucleotide transfer RNA is filed under the name Cordylochernes scorpioides. RNAcentral describes it as "tRNA-Thr". The record is from RNAcentral. Lineage: Eukaryota; Metazoa; Arthropoda; Arachnida; Pseudoscorpiones; Chernetidae.
AGUGUCACGGGAUGGGAAUCGAACCCACGACCUUCCGCUUACCGGGCAGAUGCCAUGACCACUAGGCCACAUGACC